CAGGAAGGUGAGACGAUACCACGCACACAAUCACCUCAAACCUUCCAACAGCAUUUUUCAAAGCGCCCACAGGGAUAGCAGCAGAAUAACACUGCAGGAGGCGGUGCCUCCUGAAUGAGCCCAAAACACUGCUCUUCAAAUGGAACACAUCCAUCCUUCAGGUGUCCAUGCAGGAUGUACCACUCUGGAACAUCAAACCUCUCCCUACCUGCCAGCACAUGAAAAUAUUUCUACUUCUGACUAUCAAAGACAAUGGAAAACCAUUUUCCAGAUCAGCCCUCACAGAUCCUCCUGAUGGCCUAACAACUGAACUACAUGUCGAUGCUAAGUAUGAUUCAUCUCAAUCAUUUUAGGAAGCUCUCCCUGAUAUAGGGGAUUGGAUGUACAAUGACGGACAUACGUUUAACGAAGGAUUUGAAGAUAGUUUGAGUGAGGAGUGUGCAGAAGAGUCAAAUUUCAAGGACACAACAGACAAACCAAUACAUGACAAUGCAUCAGAAACCAUGGCAGAGUGCCUUCUGAUCAUCAUGGGUUAUGUAAACUGUCAUAAAGUCACUGAUAAGGCCCUAAGCGAUAUGCUCAAAAUGUUCAAUUUGCUUUAUCCCGAUAGUCUGAACACAGACUGCUUAAACAGUGUGCAGAAGUUCCAAAACUUUUUUUUAUCCCACUCUGCAUCAUCGCUUAUUAUAUUACAUACAUCCUCCAGUAAUUGUUUUGGGCCAAUAGAAAGUAAACAAAUAAAAUGCCUGUUUUGUGGGACCAGUGUGUCAGAAGAAAGAUUCUCAUCCUUAUUUUUAAAGUAUGUACAGAUUGAUUUAUUUUUUACCAUUUUUUACCAUGUGCCAAAUGGGCCCUCGUUGGUGAAUUUAAACAUGCAGGUUUUUCUUUGCUGCAAGAUAGUGUAACAUAUGAGACAUGCAGUCAUGUUAUUCCCCUAUUGGAAACCUCUGCCAGUACAGUAGUAUCCUUGGAUCACAUAUUGGGUAAAGUUGUUUUCCUUGACUUCACAUCUAUGCCUGGCAUUGUGUUUGCAGUUCAUUUCCCCAACACACUUGAAAAGUUUUAAAUAAUUAGGAACUGAACUGGCCUAAGAAGCCACAAAUCAAAUUUUUGAUCAUUGUUAUAAAUGCUCUGAAAAUACACACUGAUGUGAUGUU
Nerophis ophidion (straightnose pipefish) is the source of this 1157-nucleotide long non-coding RNA. RefSeq lists it as uncharacterized. The transcript has 3 exons. NCBI's taxonomy places the organism in Eukaryota, Metazoa, Chordata, Actinopteri, Syngnathiformes, Syngnathidae. The record is from RefSeq and is a predicted model, not a curated record.